CCUACGGGGUGCUGCAGUGAGGAAUAUUGGUCAAUGGGCUUACGCCUGAACCAGCCAAGUCGCGUGAGGGAAGACUGCCCUAUGGGUUGUAAACCUCUUUUGUCAGGGAGCAACGCCGGCUACGUGUAGCCUGACUGAGAGUACCUGAAGAAAAAGCAUCGGCUAACUCCGUGCCAGCAGCCGCGGUAAUCCGGAGGAUGCGAUCGUUAUCCGUAUUUAUUGGGUUUAAAGGGUGCGUAGGCGGAAUGCCAAGUCAGCGGUAAAAUCGAGAGGCUCAACCUCUUUCCGCCGUUGAAACUGUCGGUCUUGAGUGGGCGAGAAGUAUGCGGAAUGCGUGGUGUAGCGGUGAAAUGCAUAGAUAUCACGCAGAACUCCGAUUGCGAAGGCAGCAUACCGGCGCCCGACUGACGCUGAGGCACGAAAGCGUGGGUAUCGAACAGGAUUAGAUACCCUAGUAGUC
Molecule: ribosomal RNA, 460 nt
Filed under: uncultured bacterium
Lineage: Bacteria
Description: partial 16S ribosomal RNA
Rfam family: Bacterial small subunit ribosomal RNA
Source: RNAcentral